This 69-nucleotide transfer RNA is filed under the name Marmota monax (woodchuck). Its description in RNAcentral is "tRNA.Val". The stretch from base 7 to 62 matches the Rfam family "tRNA", at positions 9 to 63 of the family's 71-position model. Rfam says of the family: Transfer RNA (tRNA) molecules are approximately 80 nucleotides in length. Their secondary structure includes four short double-helical elements and three loops (D, anti-codon, and T loops). Lineage: Eukaryota; Metazoa; Chordata; Mammalia; Rodentia; Sciuridae. The record is from RNAcentral.
GCGCUGGGCUCAAUGGUGGAGCGCUCGCCUCACACGCGUGAGGCCCUGGGUUCCAUCCUCAGCACCACA